This 386-nucleotide ribosomal RNA is filed under the name uncultured bacterium. RNAcentral's name for it is "bacterial SSU rRNA". It matches the Rfam family "Bacterial small subunit ribosomal RNA", at positions 29 to 417 of the family's 1533-position model. The record is from RNAcentral.
AUUGAACGCUGGCGGAAUGCUUUACACAUGCAAGUCGAGCGGCAGCGCGGGGGCAACCCUGGCGGCGAGCGGCGAACGGGUGAGUAACAUAUCGGAACGUACCCAGUCGUGGGGGAUAACUAUCCGAAAGGAUAGCUAAUACCGCAUACGACCUGAGGGUGAAAGCGGGGGACCGUAAGGCCUCGCGCGAUUGGAGCGGCCGAUAUCGGAUUAGCUAGUUGGUGAGGUAAAGGCUCACCAAGGCGACGAUCCGUAGCUGGUCUGAGAGGACGACCAGCCACACUGGAACUGAGACACGGUCCAGACUCCUACGGGAGGCAGCAGUGGGGAAUUUGGACAAUGGGGGCAACCCUGAUCCAGCCAUUCCGCGUGAGUGAAGAAGGCCU